GAGACAGUUCGGUCCCGUAUCCGCUGUGCGCGUAGGAGUCUUGAGAAGGGCUGUCCCUAGUACGAGAGGACCGGGACGGACGAACCUCUGGUGUGCCAGUUGUUCUGCCAAGGGCAUGGCUGGUUGGCUACGUUCGGGAGGGAUAACCGCUGAAAGCAUCUAAGCGGGAAGCCUGCUUCGAGAUGAGGACUCCCACCUCCUAGAGAGGGUAAGGCUCCCAGUAGACGACUGGGUUGAUAGGCCGGAUAUGGAAGCACGGUAGCGUGUGGAGUUGACCGGUACUAAUAGGCCGAGGGCUUGUCCUC
This 305-nucleotide non-coding RNA is filed under the name Streptomyces afghaniensis 772. RNAcentral's name for it is "Bacterial large subunit ribosomal RNA". It matches the Rfam family "Bacterial large subunit ribosomal RNA", at positions 2623 to 2925 of the family's 2925-position model. The record is from Rfam by way of RNAcentral. Lineage: Bacteria; Bacillati; Actinomycetota; Actinomycetes; Kitasatosporales; Streptomycetaceae.